This 253-nucleotide ribosomal RNA is filed under the name uncultured bacterium. RNAcentral describes it as "partial 16S ribosomal RNA". It matches the Rfam family "Bacterial small subunit ribosomal RNA", at positions 524 to 776 of the family's 1533-position model. The record is from RNAcentral.
UACAGAGGGUGCAAGCGUUAAUCGGAAUUACUGGGCGUAAAGCGUGCGUAGACGGUUAUUUAAGUCAGGUGUGAAAGCCCCGGGCUCAACCUGGGAAUUGCAUUUGAGACUGAAUAGCUAGGGUGCGGAAGAGGGAAGCGGAAUUUCCGGUGUAGCGGUGAAAUGCGUAGAUAUCAGGAAGAACACCCGUGGCGAAGGCGGCUCUCUGGGACGGUACUGACGCUGAGACGCGAAAGCGUGGGGAGCGAACAGG